RNAcentral lists this ribosomal RNA (253 nucleotides) under uncultured bacterium. Its description in RNAcentral is "partial 16S ribosomal RNA". It matches the Rfam family "Bacterial small subunit ribosomal RNA", at positions 524 to 776 of the family's 1533-position model. The record is from RNAcentral.
UACGUAGGGUCCGAGCGUUGUCCGGAAUUAUUGGGCGUAAAGAGCUCGUAGGCGGUCUGUUGCGUCGGUUGUGAAAACCUGGGGCUCAACUCCAGGCCUGCAAUCGAUACGGGCAGACUAGAGUUCGGUAGGGGAGACUGGAAUUCCUGGUGUAGCGGUGAAAUGCGCAGAUAUCAGGAGGAACACCGGUGGCGAAGGCGGGUCUCUGGGCAUUAACUGACGCUGAGGAGCGAAAGCAUGGGGAGCGAACAGG